This is a non-coding RNA of Oryctolagus cuniculus (rabbit), 163 nucleotides long. NCBI's taxonomy places the organism in Eukaryota, Metazoa, Chordata, Mammalia, Lagomorpha, Leporidae. The record is from Rfam.
GGAUACUAUCCCUAGGAGGCAGGUGGGAUUCUGCACCCCAGAAUCUCACUGUUUUAAGAGGUGCAGCUUGGCCCUUUGGGUUCAGUCAUCCCAGAGACUGACUUUUCUGAGUUUUCUUAGGGUGUUUGCUUAUCGCAGUUUUGUCUUCCUUGCUUUAGGCAAG